UGGGGAAUCUUGGACAAUGGGGGCAACCCUGAUCCAGCCAUGCCGCGUGAGUGAUGAAGGCCUUAGGGUCGUAAAGCUCUUUCGCCUGUGAAGAUAAUGACGGUAGCAGGUAAAGAAACCCCGGCUAACUCCGUGCCAGCAGCCGCGGUAAUACGGAGGGGGUUAGCGUUGUUCGGAAUUACUGGGCGUAAAGCGCACGUAGGCGGACCAGAAAGUUGGGGGUGAAAUCCCGGGGGCUCAACCCCGGAACUGCCUCCAAAACUAUUGGUCUAGAGUUCGAGAGAGGUGAGUGGAAUUCCAAGUGUAGAGGUGAAAUUCGUAGAUAUUUGGAGGAACACCAGUGGCGAAGGCGGCUCACUGGCUCGAUACUGACGCUGAGGUGCGAAAGUGUGGGGAGCAAACAGGAUUAGAUACCCUGGGUAGUCCACACCGUAAAACGAUGAAUGCCAGUCGUCGGGUAGCAUGCUAUUCGGUGACACACCUAACGGAUUAAGCAUUCCGGCC
RNAcentral lists this ribosomal RNA (504 nucleotides) under uncultured bacterium. RNAcentral describes it as "bacterial SSU rRNA". It matches the Rfam family "Bacterial small subunit ribosomal RNA", at positions 355 to 873 of the family's 1533-position model. The record is from RNAcentral.